CAGACGGGUGGCAGAAGGGAGGAAGAGGGGACAAGGGACGGAAGUCUGAACCAGCCAUGCCGCGUGCAGGAAGACGGCUCUAUGAGUUGUAAACUGCUUUUGUACAAGGGUAAACCUGAAUACGUGUAUUCAGCUGAAAGUACUGUACGAAUAAGGAUCGGCUAACUCCGUGCCAGCAGCCGCGGUAAUACGGAGGAUCCAAGCGUUAUCCGGAUUUAUUGUGUUUACAGGGUGCGUAGGCGGAUUGAUAAGUUAGAGGUGAAAUGUCCGAGCUUAACUCGGGAACUGCCUCUAAUACUGUUGAUCUAGAGAGUAGAUGCGGUAGGCGGAAUGUAUGGUGUAGCGGUGAAAUGCUUAGAGAUCAUACAGAACACCGAUUGCGAAGGCAGCUUACCAAUCUAUAUCUGACGUUGAGGCACGAAAGCGUGGGGAGCAAACAGGAUUAGAUACCCUUGUAGUC
This 460-nucleotide ribosomal RNA is filed under the name uncultured bacterium. RNAcentral's name for it is "partial 16S ribosomal RNA". It matches the Rfam family "Bacterial small subunit ribosomal RNA", at positions 338 to 795 of the family's 1533-position model. The record is from RNAcentral.